AAAAGCUGAAAGUCGGUUUACGCUGACACUUACAGAUGGGCCCGCGGCGCAUUAGCUAGUUGGUGAGGUAACGGCUCACCAAGGCGACGAUGCGUAGCCGACCUGAGAGGGUGAUCGGCCACACUGGGACUGAGACACGGCCCAGACUCCUACGGGAGGCAGCAGUAGGGAAUCUUCCGCAAUGGACGAAAGUCUGACGGAGCAACGCCGCGUGAGCGAUGAAGGCCUUCGGGUCGUAAAGCUCUGUUGUUAGGGAAGAACAAGUAUCGGAGUAACUGCCGGUACCUUGACGGUACCUAACCAGAAAGCCACGG
This 314-nucleotide ribosomal RNA is filed under the name Neobacillus niacini. RNAcentral describes it as "bacterial SSU rRNA". It matches the Rfam family "Bacterial small subunit ribosomal RNA", at positions 195 to 496 of the family's 1533-position model. Lineage: Bacteria; Bacillati; Bacillota; Bacilli; Caryophanales; Bacillaceae. The record is from RNAcentral.